This 253-nucleotide ribosomal RNA is filed under the name uncultured bacterium. Its description in RNAcentral is "partial 16S ribosomal RNA". It matches the Rfam family "Bacterial small subunit ribosomal RNA", at positions 524 to 776 of the family's 1533-position model. The record is from RNAcentral.
UACGAAGGACCCGAGCGUUAUCCGGAUUUAUUGGGUUUAAAGGGUGCGUAGGCGGGUUUAUAAGUCAGUGGUGAAAGCCCAUCGCUCAACGAUGGAAUUGCCAUUGAUACUGUAAAUCUUGAGUACAUUUGAGGCGGGCGGAAUGUGUCAUGUAGCGGUGAAAUGCUUAGAUAUGACACAGAACACCGAUUGCGAAGGCAGCUCGCUAAACUGUAACUGACGCUGAGGCACGAAAGCGUGGGGAUCAAACAGG